This 298-nucleotide unclassified non-coding RNA is filed under the name Ambisporaceae sp. RNAcentral's name for it is "partial contains 5.8S ribosomal RNA and internal transcribed spacer 2". The stretch from base 1 to 71 matches the Rfam family "5.8S ribosomal RNA", at positions 84 to 154 of the family's 154-position model. The record is from RNAcentral. Lineage: Eukaryota; Fungi; Glomeromycota; Glomeromycetes; Archaeosporales; Ambisporaceae.
GUGAAUCAUCGAAUUUUUGAACGCAUAUUGCACUCUCUGGUAUUCCGGAGAGUAUGCCUAUUUGAGGGUCAUUUGAAAUAAUAUAAAUUGCAGGAUUUCUCGGAAUUUAAAAUGGGUUGUACAUUUUUUGUGGUCGCCUAAAAUCAAAGACAAGCUAAUUUUCUUGGGUUGCGUGAUACGCUCAGUUACCACGUGACUUAACCAAGAAUCAUCGGGCGUGUUAUGAAUUUUUCAAGAGAUAAAUUCCAUAUAUUUAUCUCAUGCGAAAUAUAAAUUGAAUCAUGACCUCAAAUUAGAU